AUUGAACGCUGGCGGCAUGCCUUACACAUGCAAGUCGAACGGCAGCACGGGUGCUUGCACCUGGUGGCGAGUGGCGAACGGGUGAGUAAUACAUCGGAACAUGUCCUGUAGUGGGGGAUAGCCCGGCGAAAGCCGGAUUAAUACCGCAUACGAUCUACGGAUGAAAGCGGGGGACCUUCGGGCCUCGCGCUAUAGGGUUGGCCGAUGGCUGAUUAGCUCGUUGGUGGGGUAAAGGCCUACCAAGGCGACGAUCAGUAGCUGGUCUGAGGGGACGACCAGCCACACUGGGACUGAGACACGGCCCAGACUCCUACGGGAGGCAGCAGUGGGGAAUGUUGGACAAUGGGCGAAAGCCUGAUCCAGCAAUGCCGCGUGUGUGAAGAAGGCCUUCGGGUUGUAAAGCACUUUUGUCCGGAAAGAAAUCCUUGGCCCUAAUACGGUCGGGGGAUGACGGUACCGGAAGAAUAAGCACCGGCUAACUACGUG
RNAcentral lists this ribosomal RNA (486 nucleotides) under uncultured bacterium. Its description in RNAcentral is "partial 16S ribosomal RNA". It matches the Rfam family "Bacterial small subunit ribosomal RNA", at positions 30 to 507 of the family's 1533-position model. The record is from RNAcentral.